Molecule: non-coding RNA, 74 nt
Organism: Apaloderma vittatum (bar-tailed trogon)
Lineage: Eukaryota; Metazoa; Chordata; Aves; Trogoniformes; Trogonidae
Source: Rfam
GCACCGGUUAGCUCAAUCAGUUGAGUGUGGCACUAACACCGCCAAGGUCGUGGGUUCGAUUCCCGUUCGGUCCC